Molecule: ribosomal RNA, 480 nt
Filed under: uncultured bacterium
Lineage: Bacteria
Description: partial 16S ribosomal RNA
Rfam family: Bacterial small subunit ribosomal RNA
Source: RNAcentral
GACGAACACUGGCGGCGUGCUUAACACAUGCAAGUCGAACGAUGAAGAAAAGAAUUGAAGCUUCGGCAGAAAUUCAUUUCGGAUUAGUGGCAGACGGGUGAGUAACGCGUGAGCAACCUACCUCUUACAAAGGGAUAGCCUCGGGAAACCGGGAUUAAUACCAUAUAACAUUGCGACGAAGCAUUUCGAUGCAAUCAAAGCUACGGCGGUAAGAGAUGGGCUCGCGUCCCAUUAACCAGAUGGUGAGGUAACGGCUCACCAUAGUAACGAUGGGUAACCGGCCUGAGAGGGUGAACGGUCACACUGGAACUGAGACACGGUCCAGACUCCUACGGGAGGCAGCAGUGGGGAAUAUUGCACAAUGGAGGGAACUCUGAUGCAGCGACGCCGCGUGAGUGAUGAAGGAAUUCGUUUCGUAAAACUCUGUUCUAUGGGAAGAAAAGGACUGUACCAUAGGAGAAAGCUCCGGCUAAAUACGUG